UGGGGAAUUUUCCGCAAUGGGCGAAAGCCUGACGGAGCAAGACCGCGUGGGGGAGGAAGGUUUGUGGACUGUAAACCCCUUUUGAUUGGGAAGAUGAUGACGGUACCAAUCGAAUCAGCAUCGGCUAACUCCGUGCCAGCAGCCGCGGUAAUACGGAGGAUGCAAGCGUUAUCCGGAAUUAUUGGGCGUAAAGCGUCCGUAGGUGGCAUUACAAGUCAGUUGUUAAAGCGCGAGGCUUAACCUCGUAAGGGCGAUUGAAACUGUGAAGCUAGAGUUUGGUAGGGGUCAGGGGAAUUCCCAGUGUAGCGGUGAAAUGCGUAGAUAUUGGGAAGAACACCGGUGGCGAAAGCGCCUGACUGGGCCUGAACUGACACUGAGGGACGAAAGCUAGGGGAGCGAAAGGGAUUAGAUACCCCUGUAGUCCUAGCUGUAAACGAUGGGUACUAGGUGUUGACCGUAUCGACCCGGUCAGUGCCGUAGCUAACGCGUUAAGUAUCCCGCCUGGGGAGUACGCUCGCAAGAGUGAAAC
RNAcentral lists this ribosomal RNA (529 nucleotides) under uncultured cyanobacterium. RNAcentral's name for it is "bacterial SSU rRNA". It matches the Rfam family "Bacterial small subunit ribosomal RNA", at positions 355 to 900 of the family's 1533-position model. Lineage: Bacteria; Bacillati; Cyanobacteriota. The record is from RNAcentral.